AUUGUCAGGUGCAGCUCUGAGAAGGUGUUGGUGGUGCCUCCGAGAGACGUCCGGGAAGGGGCCGUCUCCAGGCUCAGGUGGUUCAUGUGUCUCAGCACAUUGAAGAUGGAAAGCAAAGGUUCUUCUUAGUUAAAAACACAACUCAUAAAACAAGACAACUACCAGGAAACUAAAGAGCAGAUGAAAUGAGAAGAUGUGACUGUAAUUCCUACACUGGCGGGGGGGAGUGCGCCUGGAAUGCAGCAGGGACCCAACACAUCAUAUGCACAGAAGAAAUUGUGCCAGUGACUGCAUGUGCUUCCCCAGACACACAGGAAAGAAAAACUAUGUCAUGUGCUGCAGGUAAAAAAAGUGUCAGCAUUGCCUAUAUAAGAUGCUGAGAGGAAAAAUGAGCUGGAAGGCACAUCUGCAGCCCCAGAUCAAAUUUUCACUUCACGCUGAUAAGCUCGAGUGUGUAAGAGGUGAGUGUUUACGGGUGAAAAUCACUUUUCUCUUGUUCAGUAAAGCACCAACUUUAUUUGUUGAGCACUUGCGGGGGCGUCUCUGCUGCUUCCCAGCUCCCGGGGACGUAACGCCGCGCGGGGCCGAGCGGGACGGGACCGCGG
Calidris pugnax (ruff) is the source of this 605-nucleotide long non-coding RNA. RefSeq lists it as uncharacterized. The transcript is spliced from 5 exons. NCBI's taxonomy places the organism in Eukaryota, Metazoa, Chordata, Aves, Charadriiformes, Scolopacidae. The record is from RefSeq and is a predicted model, not a curated record.